Molecule: ribosomal RNA, 1826 nt
Filed under: Staphylococcus aureus
Lineage: Bacteria; Bacillati; Bacillota; Bacilli; Caryophanales; Staphylococcaceae
Description: partial 23S ribosomal RNA
Rfam family: Bacterial large subunit ribosomal RNA
Source: RNAcentral
CAAACUCCGAAUGCCAAUUAAUUUAACUUGGGAGUCAGAACAUGGGUGAUAAGGUCCGUGUUCGAAAGGGAAACAGCCCAGACCACCAGCUAAGGUCCCAAAAUAUAUGUUAAGUGGAAAAGGAUGUGGCGUUGCCCAGACAACUAGGAUGUUGGCUUAGAAGCAGCCAUCAUUUAAAGAGUGCGUAAUAGCUCACUAGUCGAGUGACACUGCGCCGAAAAUGUACCGGGGCUAAACAUAUUACCGAAGCUGUGGAUUGUCCUUUGGACAAUGGUAGGAGAGCGUUCUAAGGGCGUUGAAGCAUGAUCGUAAGGACAUGUGGAGCGCUUAGAAGUGAGAAUGCCGGUGUGAGUAGCGAAAGACGGGUGAGAAUCCCGUCCACCGAUUGACUAAGGUUUCCAGAGGAAGGCUCGUCCGCUCUGGGUUAGUCGGGUCCUAAGCUGAGGCCGACAGGCGUAGGCGAUGGAUAACAGGUUGAUAUUCCUGUACCACCUAUAAUCGUUUUAAUCGAUGGGGGGACGCAGUAGGAUAGGCGAAGCGUGCGAUUGGAUUGCACGUCUAAGCAGUAAGGCUGAGUAUUAGGCAAAUCCGGUACUCAUUAAGGCUGAGCUGUGAUGGGGAGAAGACAUUGUGUCUUCGAGUCGUUGAUUUCACACUGCCGAGAAAAGCCUCUAGAUAGAAAAUAGGUGCCCGUACCGCAAACCGACACAGGUAGUCAAGAUGAGAAUUCUAAGGUGAGCGAGCGAACUCUCGUUAAGGAACUCGGCAAAAUGACCCCGUAACUUCGGGAGAAGGGGUGCUCUUUAGGGUUAACGCCCAGAAGAGCCGCAGUGAAUAGGCCCAAGCGACUGUUUAUCAAAAACACAGGUCUCUGCUAAACCGUAAGGUGAUGUAUAGGGGCUGACGCCUGCCCGGUGCUGGAAGGUUAAGAGGAGUGGUUAGCUUCUGCGAAGCUACGAAUCGAAGCCCCAGUAAACGGCGGCCGUAACUAUAACGGUCCUAAGGUAGCGAAAUUCCUUGUCGGGUAAGUUCCGACCCGCACGAAAGGCGUAACGAUUUGGGCACUGUCUCAACGAGAGACUCGGUGAAAUCAUAGUACCUGUGAAGAUGCAGGUUACCCGCGACAGGACGGAAAGACCCCGUGGAGCUUUACUGUAGCCUGAUAUUGAAAUUCGGCACAGCUUGUACAGGAUAGGUAGGAGCCUUUGAAACGUGAGCGCUAGCUUACGUGGAGGCGCUGGUGGGAUACUACCCUAGCUGUGUUGGCUUUCUAACCCGCACCACUUAUCGUGGUGGGAGACAGUGUCAGGCGGGCAGUUUGACUGGGGCGGUCGCCUCCUAAAAGGUAACGGAGGCGCUCAAAGGUUCCCUCAGAAUGGUUGGAAAUCAUUCAUAGAGUGUAAAGGCAUAAGGGAGCUUGACUGCGAGACCUACAAGUCGAGCAGGGUCGAAAGACGGACUUAGUGAUCCGGUGGUUCCGCAUGGAAGGGCCAUCGCUCAACGGAUAAAAGCUACCCCGGGGAUAACAGGCUUAUCUCCCCCAAGAGUUCACAUCGACGGGGAGGUUUGGCACCUCGAUGUCGGCUCAUCGCAUCCUGGGGCUGUAGUCGGUCCCAAGGGUUGGGCUGUUCGCCCAUUAAAGCGGUACGCGAGCUGGGUUCAGAACGUCGUGAGACAGUUCGGUCCCUAUCCGUCGUGGGCGUAGGAAAUUUGAGAGGAGCUGUCCUUAGUACGAGAGGACCGGGAUGGACAUACCUCUGGUGUACCAGUUGUCGUGCCAACGGCAUAGCUGGGUAGCUAUGUGUGGACGGGAUAAGUGCUGAAAG